GACUACUAUUAAAUUUGAUGCCGGUUAUUGGGAUUCUGCAAUGGAAGAGUCAAAUCGGAUUUUUACUAUAAAUCUGCCUCGCAAGUAAAAGCCGAUACAAUCAUAAAAGAGAGAAGACAACCACAGAAAAAUCUACAUGUGAAAUAAGAUUUAUUAAUCAGAAAAAUAAUUACACCUGACUCCUCUUCUACAGUAGAAUAGCUUCAACCCAAGCCUUCUUUCUUAAACUCUCACCGUUAUCUCGUGUUUUAUAAACUUAAAAGACUUCUCUCUCUUUUUCUCUCUAUGCACCCAUGCAUAAGGUGAACGCAACCAUGGCCAACUCUCUCCCUAGUACAAACACCACCAAAGAACUUUCCACUUGACCGUACUUUCCUUUUGAAGCUUCGGCCAUACACUCUUAGGCUUCAACUUCUUAAUGCUAUAUAUACUAUGCUCAAUGUCACGCCCCGGGGUCCCUUUUUGAUUUAAAGACUGAUGCGGAAGUGCUCAAUUUUUUUUUUUUUUUUGAAAACCUUGACUCCAGAGUGUGUCAGAUCCGCAACAAAUUUAGAGAAUUCACUGUUCAUACGGACAGAGUCUCCCCUAUAUUUGCAUGGCGUCGCACAAGCACAAAAUACAACCACAUAUAUAUGAACAUUCACAUACAUUACCACAUCACAUUUAUCAUUCAUUCCAUCACAGAUAAUUAUAAAUUCACCUCUAUUAGUUUAAAAUGUUUCCUACCCAGAAACUUAUGUUGAAAUACUAAGAAUCACGAAAAACUACGAGAAAACCUUUUUAAAACUGUUUCCCACACGAAAACUUUUUCUUUUAAAACACGCUAUCACGAGGGGUAUAAAACUAUUUUCACAAUUUUACGUGAAAACCACAAUUAUUUUAUUUGACUUCACAAAACCAUAUAUAUACUCAACUAAAAUAAAAUCAACUGAACCAUAAAAACGUCUAAGUCAAUUCUUAAAAA
RNAcentral lists this long non-coding RNA (964 nucleotides) under Ananas comosus (pineapple). Its description in RNAcentral is "long non-coding RNA (ACOM_LNC024022)". The record is from RNAcentral. Lineage: Eukaryota; Viridiplantae; Streptophyta; Magnoliopsida; Poales; Bromeliaceae.